AUAUUCAGAUGCAUUCUUAUCUGUUUCGAUUUUCCAACCCUAUUUUCCUAAAAGAGCUAGAUUGAAAAUCUUCAACUUUCUAAUUCCCAGCCCCUCUCUUCCAAAGAUCUACAAACCUUAUCUGAAUUAACCAACAUUAUUUAAUUUUUCUCUCCCCUCACUCCCUCCCCAUAAAAAUUGUUUGAAAAGAGAUUCAAGUUUAAAAAUUAUACAUGUCGGAGUCUUGAAAAGGGAAAGAAAGCAAACAGAGAGCGCAUACAAAGUGACUCUAUCAUAACGAAUUGACCUCAAAUGAACAAGUGUUUAUUCUUCCACUUAGACAAUCUUGAUCCUAGUGCCUUAAUCACUAGCUGCCAUGUAUCUAUUCUGUCUGGACUUGCCCCAAUUGAUAACCCAAGGUAUUUGCACGGUGUGGAUCCAAUCAUACAAUGUAGGAUAUUAGCCACCUCUUCCAACCAACACUAAGAAAUAUUGAAUCCCAUCAAUAAAUUUUUAUGAAAAUUGACUUGUAGGCCCAACAUUAGUUCAAAUAAUAGCAAAUCGGCCUCAACGACUAUAAUAUUUGACCACUUCUUCUCACCUAUGAUUAAUAUAUCAUCAACGUAUUGUUGGUGAGUAAAACGCUCCUCUCUCAUGUCAAAUUUGAAUCAUGUGAAUUAAAUAUAGGGCUGUUGAAGUGUCUAUGAAGUUAGUGGAAGACUGAGUUUCCCUGUUGUUUAGUAAUUUUUUUUCUUUCAGAGUAAACAAUAUUAAUUAUCUCUAGAUCUGUGUUAAAUGUAGUAUACCAAAACAAAUUAUAAAAAAAUAACCCCGUGCUUGAUGCAGUCCUGGUAUCAUUUUUGUAUAUUUAAACAAGUUUCUUUACAUACACAGGUAUAAACAAACGACUAUAUAGCCAUUUACUUGUAGGAAAAUGUUUAACUUAACUACUAAAUGUCGCCAUUAAUGUCAUUACUGAUGGGUAUAAGUUGAUGGUUUAAAAUCUCUUUCUAUGCAUCAUUAGCUUCAUUUUUCCUCUCAAGAACCACAUCUAUACAGCACCUAUCUUAUAUAUAUUGGUGUCCUUGCUAUAAUAGAAGGGAAAGUUGUUAAAGCCGAUAGGUAUAAGUUGGUUGAGCUUCAUUUUAGGCUUAUAAGUUAUUAAAUUUCAAAACUUAUAAGCCUAAAAUAUCUCACUGUCUUAUUUUGCAAUGGUUCUCUGCAUUCCUGAAACCUUAUAUAUUAUUAUGUCGAAAAAUAAUUAUCUGUUAUGAAGGCACAGCCAGUAAUAACAAAAUAAUAUCUGCACAAACCCAAAAUUGAAAUAAGUGACCUGCCACAAAUUACACAGCCACCUGAGCCAACUAUUGUAUAGGAGCAGUAUCUAGUGGUUCACCACAAAAAAUUUGACAGAUUAAAAGUCUGCGAAUUAAACAUUUAGAAUAUAAAAUUAAUAGACAAAACCAUUUACCUCAAUGGAGUAAAUUUCUGAACCUUCUGAAGAAAAGGCAACAACAUCUACAAGAGGUGUCAUAACCUCUCUAACUAGUGUGUCUUUUAUCUCCAACACGUUUUGAACCAUAUCCUACAUAUAAUUAUAGUUUUAUUGUUAACAGAUUCUUGAUUUAAUCAAUGUUGAGCUGGGGAAUGUGUAACGUCCACUUUCAUUUAAUCGUUUAUUUAAACGAGUUUAGACGAUUAUAUUAUAAUUAUAUAAUAUAUUCAUGAUUUUGAUAUGUUUUGAUGAUUUACGAUGAUUUUGGUGAUUUGAUUGAUGACGUGAUAAGUUAUGAAUUUUGAAGGCUUUGAUAAAGAUAUGAGAUUUAUUUUAUUGUUAAAUAAAAUAAAGAUUUGAAAAUAAUAUAAAAUAUUUAGUUGAGGGCUGUUUUGAUAUUUUAGAUAGUUUUGGGGGAGAAAGUGAAAUAAGAUAAGUAAUUAAGGAGAUAUAAAAAGGUUAGACCUAGUUUUAGAAAAACAUUGUUGUACGUACGUUUUUGGAGAAAAAGGGAGAAAAAGCCAAGAGAAGAGAAACCAAGAGAGAGGGCUGCGAUUUCUGCAAAACAAGGUAAGGGUGAGACUAAUAAUUCAAUAAUGUUAAUUGUUGUAAUUAUGAUGAUUAAUUGACAAAGUUAGGAUUGAUUUAGAAAAGUUUUGGAAUUAGGUCAUGUUAUCGCGAUUUUCGGGUGUCAAGUCAUUAAUUAGGCUUGAAUCUUUCAAUCUUUGAUAUUCUCUAUUUUUUCUUGGGAAGGGCAAAAUUGAGAAAAAACCCUUAGAUUCUAAGUUCGGGGGUCGUUUUCACUACGGGAAGGUGUUAGGCACCCGCGGUGACUAUAGUACUCUAUAGGAGCCGUUUUCUUAGUUUAUGUCUACGCUUUAUUUUUAAUGCUAUUUAUGAAAAAGGAAAUUUAUUUAUGUUAAGAAUGGGGGGAGAAAGUGUUUGAGGUUUUAUUUUAGUGGACUUGGAGAGGUUUUGACCUCAUGCCUACAUACCCAUUUAAGGGAUCAAACUCCAUGUAGUUCUCUCUCAAAAAAUGUUUUUUGUGUGUUUGGUUGAUUUUAGUUUUUGUUGGAAAAUGGUUUUGAAGAAGAGAAAGAGGCCUUAAAGGCAUAAGAGAGAAAAAUGGUGAAUGGUUGGUUCAAUUGUUAUUAAAAAAGUCUAAGUAGGAAUUAGGAUUCAUUUGGAUUUGUUUAAGAAAAUAAAGGAAAAAAUUCAAUGGAGUUUUGACUCCAAGGUUUGUUUGGAAAAAUUUGAGUGAUGGAAUUGGUUUAUUAUUUUUUUGAAAAUUGGCAUUUGUCUAAAAAUCGCGUUUCCUAAGCAUACAUCUAAACGGUAAACAUGCAACGUGUGUGCGUGUCGGUGCUUGUGUCGGUGUACAUCACUUAUAGUGUCCAUAGUCCUUUACAUUGAGUCCUAAAUACAUGCUAUGGUCUUGCAAGGAAUUAAAAAAAGAACUAAUCUAUCUAAAAUUAUUACAAACCCAAUUGAUAUAGAAAUGAAUAGAAAAAUGAUGCCAAAACUAUGGGAUGAAUGAAAUGUGAGAUGAAAUGGUUAGUAUCAUAAGGCAUAAAAAUAGUAGAAAGGUAAACAAAAUUGAAUAGAAUAGCAAGAGAAAAAAAAAAAUAAUGAAAUGAAAUAAAGUGGCAAAAUAUACCUAAAAUUGGUUAUGACACUUAGACAUGCAUAUGACCUAUAAUCCCCUCAUUAUAGCAAUGUUAAAGGGGUUUGAUUUUGAGCUAUAAUGUGGGAACAAAUAGGACACAUUCAAGCCAAGAAUCAUGACACAUUUUUAAAGAUAUUUUGCACUUUAUUUCUUGAUAAAAACACACAUUACUUGCAAAACAAGAAAGAAAUGAAAAUCUACAUCCACAAUCAGCAAGACAUACAUAUGAUCAGCAACACAUUCACCAUGAAAUUACACACCAAUCAUCCACAUCACAUGCCAACAUUUUAUGAGAAAAAUAUACCACAAAAAUACACAAACUUAGAUCAAACACAAAAUUAAUCAAGAAAAAAUAACACACACAUUUUUAUCAUUUUUAAACCAUUGAAAAAUAUCACAAAAGUACUAAAAUGUAUUAAGAAACAUAUAACAAUUUUUUAGGAAUUUUUAGAGAAAAGAUUAAGCACGCAGAGGUUCAAUUAGCAAAAAAGCAGGGUGCAGACAGCACAAAAAAGCAAAAACGUACAGGAACUUUAGGCCCAAACCCAAAGCCCAACACCAGAUCACAGGAAAGUACAGGGACCGUUGGAUUGAUCCAGGAGAUGGAAACCUAGAUCCAACGGUCUAGAUUGAGGGAAAACGAACCAGAAUUGGACCGGUCCGGUUCAGUUGGUUAUAAAANNNNNNNNNNNNNNNNNNNNNNNNNNNNNNNNNNNNNNNNNNNNNNNNNNNNNNNNNNNNNNNNNNNNNNNNNNNNNNNNNNNNNNNNNNNNNNNNNNNNGGUAAAACUUGAUUAGAUUGAUGUAGAAACCGUCCUAUAACCUUAGAACAUGUUUAGGAUGGAUUAUGGAAUCAAAAUUAGGCUUUGAACCAUGUUAUUUGAUGGAUUUUCGAGAAAACCCGUUUUCUGUCCGAGCCUCUGUUCAUCGCUCGCCUUGGCGAGGGAUGAUCCUCACCUCGCGAGUGAUGAACUUCAUCGCUCGCCACGCGAGCCCUUUUCCUUCGCCUCGCGAGUUCUUUGGGUACCGCUCGCCAUAGCGAGCUAAGGCAGAGAGCAUGUUAGAUUUUGUGUUUCGACCUUUUUAGUUGGACCUUGAGUGCCUUUGAGUGCCUGAACAUACCUAGUAUUGAUUAGGAAUGAAUGUAGGAUCAGACUUAACCCAGAACAACACUAGUUUGGGAGUUGAGUUGUACUCGCCUCGCGAGCACAACCAUAAUGUAGUUGCUUGAGUGUUUGUGCGAUCUAUGUCGCACGUUUUGAUCGAUAGUGAACCCCUGCUUGGUAUUGAGACCUAAUGAUGACGUUAAAUGCAGUCUGUAGAGUUGUUAAGAUAUGUUGAUAUUAAUUGAACAUGAACUAAUGUAUUGUAUAAUUAUGCAAGAUAUGCAAGUUUGAUUAUAAUGCAAUUGAUGUGCUAUUGAUAUAAUGAUAUCAUCCUGUUAUGUGAUUUGUUUAUGCUGCUUCUGUUAUUUAACUAAGUGCAUAUUGUAUAUGAGUAUGAUGAAAUGAUGAAGUUAGCUCCAAAUUAUUGGAUGCAUGUUGAUAUGUUGAUUACGAUGUUUUGUUCAUACGAGUCCAUGCAUAGCAUCUCAUUGAGCUUAGUCCUCACCACGAUUAUUAGGAGCUUUGUCCUCCGCACGAUUAAAGUAUAUUAAUACUUAUGAUGACGAUUGGUACCACAUGCGUAUAAGGAGUCUAAGAGCAUUGUCGCAUUGUCAUGAUUAAGAUGCCUUGUUGAUAAUGAUUGUAUAUGUGAUUACGUGAUAAGUGUUCAUCAAAUAUGAUAUGUUGUUCAUGAUAAAUGGAUAUAUGAUUACGUGAUAACUGUUUAGCAAUUUUGCAAAGUUGUUAAAGAAAUGAUUAUGAUGUUAACUUAUGAUUCGCAAUUACAUUGAUUAAUGUUAUUUUGUUAUGAAAUCUCACCCCUUCUGCUUGAAAAUGUUGCCCUUCGUAUGUUUAUCUUGCAGGUGAUCGUGCUUAGUGUGCAGUUGCCGUCGUGAGUGGCCUUGCCUUCACUGUGUCGUCUAGGUCGCUCUGAUACGUAACGGGAUGGGGAUUAAUGUUAUACAUGCUUCAUUCUCUUACGUGAUUAAUAUGUUAUUUUUAUAAUGUUAUGGAUUACGAUAUGAACUGUUUUGAUGGGGCCUACGUGCCAAACUGAUUUAUGAUUUUCGAACUAAUAUUCCGCUGCUAUGUUAAGAUAUUAUGUGAAAGUUAAAUUAUUAUUUAACUGUUGUUUUUGGAUUACGUUUCCAUGUGAUAUCCCGUUUAUGGUUUUUACUCUGAUAAAUGUUUAAGAAAUUUGUAUAUUGGAAAAACGGGGUGUUACAGAAUGCAAUAUUCAACUCGUCAACGAUCUCUUUCUCCCAUUUGAGGCGAUACAAAUUCUUCAAGUUCCUUUAUCUACUAGUCAGCUGAGUGAUAUGUUCAUCUGGGAAGCAAAUCAAUGAUCUGUGAAUUCAGAACACAAAUCCUUAAAGGAGAGGAGUAUGAAGUAUUGCAAAACCAACCACGUUAUGGUCCAAACUUUGGAAUCUCAAAACUAUCCCAUGUCAUGUUCACCUUAUAUGUGGCGUAUCUUGCAUAAUCAGUCUACUCCCGGUUCAAGUUGCUCUCUUUAAGAAAGUUAUUAAUUGCUCCCCACUGUGUGCUUUCAAUGAAUCUAUUAAUCACCUCUAUCAAUGAGUGGGAUGAACAAGGGAUUGUGAGUGAAUCGGAGCAUGUGAUUAAAUCAGUCCUAUCCAUGUAUUAUGACGUAUGGAAAAAUAGGAACAAGAGUGCUUUGACGGAUAUGAUAUUCCCGGUGCAGCAGACGGGGGUUAGGGACUGUCAGCAGUAACUCGUGAUGCUGACAGAGUAGUUGAACUUGUUGCUCUGAACUGCUGUAAAAACAUGAUGUGGACGGGCUAUGGCAAUGAAGGCUGGACUGAAAUUUGUAAGGGAGAUACUCUUUUUAAAUUUAUUUGCCGAAUCUGAUUCUCUAUAUUGGAUUACUGCAAUCUUUUAUUUUCUAGCUUUUAUAGUCUAUAGUUUAUACAUGUUAGACUUCUUGUAUUAUGCUCCACGUUAUCCAGGAAGAUUUGGCAUUUUCAAUUCUGAUUGUGUGUGGAUUGGUGAAACUCCUAGUUGUAUUUCUGUCUUGGCAUUCGAUUUGAUGUCAAACAGAUAUAACUUUUCAACUUCAAAAUAAAUGUUCCUUUUUAUGUUCUGCUUAUCUAAAUGAAAUGCAUUUGUUCACAUAACAUAUCACAUUGUUAUUGUUUUUUUCUUUUCUUCUUCCAUAUAAUCCAAGUGCUUUCAGUAUCUGUUUAUGUCUGAACCUGUAAAAUUUUAGCAUAGUAAAAAGCACUUAUACAGAAAUGAUACUGUCAACACUAGCACAACACAUUAAUUUUUUUGGGUAUUAAUCCUCCGAUUUUUAGGAGUAGGGGUUCUGGUGAUCCGGAGUUAAGAUGGAAGAUA
Molecule: long non-coding RNA, 6603 nt
Filed under: Medicago truncatula (barrel medic)
Lineage: Eukaryota; Viridiplantae; Streptophyta; Magnoliopsida; Fabales; Fabaceae
Description: long non-coding RNA (MTRU_LNC000662)
Source: RNAcentral